Molecule: long non-coding RNA, 608 nt
Filed under: Hordeum vulgare
Lineage: Eukaryota; Viridiplantae; Streptophyta; Magnoliopsida; Poales; Poaceae
Description: long non-coding RNA (HVUL_LNC000207)
Source: RNAcentral
AGCAGAAUUGGACGGUCCGUGAAAUGUCCAAACUCACACCGAAGGAGGAAGAGGAGGUGAGCGGCGGCAAGGACAACUCCGGUGACGAGCAGAUCCAGUUCGAUCUGUACUACGUCUUCGACUAGUACUUCCGUGACAAGGAUGACAAGGGCGCUAGAAAGGACAAGGGAAGUCGUGGAUGAUAGGUUGAAUAACCCAAAAUAUCAAUCUUUACUGGAUUAUUCCAAAACAAACCAAUACCACCGCUCCUACCUUGACUACUCACAACAUAGGAAUUGUCAAAACCAAUCGUUCUAGCUAAAGAUUCUACCCUUGUGCUCUCUAGCUGUGUUUCAACAAUGCAUAACAAGAUAGGGGCAACCUGCCUCGCAAAGUCGCUAAGCUCUCGAGAACUGUCACAGACUUGCCCGCUUCACGACAGUUUCAACACAAGAUAUUCAUUGGCCCCGGCGGAGCUCCUCGAAAGAGCCCGCCAAAGAUGAGACAGUCUUGCCAAGACUGCCACUUUUCUCCACCUCCUCCUCCUGUGAAGCUGCAACUAUUCGGGCCCUCUUCUGCUCCUGCUUGCUGCUUGGACUAUGGGGAACCGAAGAGGUGGGGGAAGCGCU